AUCUACUGCCUUGGUACCUAAAGGAGGAAGAGGAGGAGGAGGAGGGUGUGUUGUUGAAUGGUGGCUAAAGCCUCCUCGGGACGGCGCUGAGGUGAAAGAGGCUGAAGCCGGCUGAUGUGGCUCCUCUCUGGGUUGGACCCUGAGCAGCCGAGGAGAGACCUUCGGCCGCCCGGCUCGCAGGUCCCUUUUUAGCACUGAGACGGGCAUGCUCAUUGUGAGCUACGCAGUGAGGGAGCGCCUUCUCCAACACUGAUUGACUGGGAUCAAACAGCCUGUGCACUGGGAAGCUUCUCCUGCCUGUACCCACACGAAGGGACUUUGCAAGCCACGUUGCCAGCUCGGGGUUUGGCAGCCCCUGCCAUUAGGCAAGGAGCAUGGAAGAGGGGACAUUGCUGCCCUUGCUUACAGUGAGCGACUGCUUCAAGGGACUGUCAGAGGUUGCAAGACAAAUCUUACCCCCUCCCCUUAAGGUUGUUAUAAACUGCAGGAGAACAUCUUUUGAUUUGUUGGGACUUGAGAGUUUAUUUUGUCAGGAAAGCUGUUGGUUCAUGCAGUGGCUGCUCCUUAGCUGUUCGAUCACACUUCCAACUCUAUAUUUGAUCAUUCUUUUGGUUAUGAAUUUAGGCAAAAAUUUACCUCUGUGUUUUAAUGUCACACUGUUGAUAUUUUUCUGGUUCAGAGAUGUUUUCCUGAGUCAGACCCUUGCACUUAGUGACAUUGGUACAAUUUCUAGAAAGGUGGUGUCACCAGCAGGAGUGUGGCACCAUCUUGAUGUGAGACUGCAAAUGGUAAGGGGGAGCACACUAGGAAUGACCAUUUCUUGGUGUCCAUUCACAGAAGAAGGACUAAGAAGUCAAGGUUAUUCACUAGAAAUGCAAACUGGAGAGGCCUUUAUUUUCCAAACUGCAAGAUUACAGAAACAAUAAGGGUAACACAGAAGUCUCAAGAAAUGGCUUAAUUUUCUUCCAAAAUAAUGGAAACUGAAAAAACA
This is a long non-coding RNA of Dryobates pubescens (Downy woodpecker), 991 nucleotides long. RefSeq lists it as uncharacterized. Lineage: Eukaryota; Metazoa; Chordata; Aves; Piciformes; Picidae. The record is from RefSeq and is a predicted model, not a curated record. The transcript has 3 exons.